Molecule: ribosomal RNA, 450 nt
Filed under: uncultured bacterium
Lineage: Bacteria
Description: partial 16S ribosomal RNA
Rfam family: Bacterial small subunit ribosomal RNA
Source: RNAcentral
GUGGGGAAUUUUGGACAAUGGGCGCAAGCCUGAUCCAGCAAUGCCGCGUGCAGGAAGAAGGCCUUCGGGUUGUAAACUGCUUUUGUACGGAACGAAACGGUCCGGGUUAAUACCCUGGGCUAAUGACGGUACCGUAAGAAUAAGCACCGGCUAACUACGUGCCAGCAGCCGCGGUAAUACGUAGGGUGCAAGCGUUAAUCGGAAUUACUGGGCGUAAAGCGUGCGCAGGCGGUUUUGUAAGACAGGCGUGAAAUCCCCGGGCUCAACCUGGGAAUUGCGCUUGGGACUGCAAGACUGGAGUGCGGCAGAAGGGGAUGGAAUUCCGCGUGUAGCAGUGAAAUGCGUAGAUAUGCGGAGGAACACCGAUGGCGAAGGCAAUCCCCUGGGCCUGCACUGACGCUCAUGCACGAAAGCGUGGGGAGCAAACAGGAUUAGAAACCCGUGUAGUCC